RNAcentral lists this microRNA precursor (100 nucleotides) under Solanum tuberosum (potato). RNAcentral's name for it is "MIR8024 microRNA precursor family". It matches the Rfam family "MIR8024 microRNA precursor family". The record is from Rfam by way of RNAcentral. Lineage: Eukaryota; Viridiplantae; Streptophyta; Magnoliopsida; Solanales; Solanaceae.
UUGGAGGAUUUAAAGACUUCAACUUGCAGACUUAAACUUGUAGACUUAAAGAAUUUGAAGACUUUAACUUGCAGACUUGAAGAAUUUGAAGACAUCAACU